GAUGAACGCUAGCGACAGGCCUAACACAUGCAAGUCGAGGGGCAGCACAUGAGUAGCAAUACGAUGGUGGCGACCGGCGCACGGGUGAGUAACACGUAUGCAACCUGCCUUCUACUAUGGGAUAACCCGUUGAAAGACGGACUAAUACCGUAUAAUACAGGGGGCUCCGCAUGGAGAUAUUUGUUAAAGAUUUAUUGGUAGAAGAUGGGCAUGCGUAUGAUUAGAUAGUUGGUGAGGUAACGGCUCACCAAGUCAACGAUCAUUAGGGGUUCUGAGAGGAAGGUCCCCCACACUGGUACUGAGACACGGACCAGACUCCUACGGGAGGCAGCAGUGAGGAAUAUUGGUCAAUGGACGAGAGUCUGAACCAGCCAAGUCGCGUGAAGGAAGACGGUUCUAUGAAUUGUAAACUUCUUUUGUGCAGGAAUAAAGUGGGUUAACGUGUAACCUUUUGUAUGUACUGUACGAAUAGGAUCGGACUAACUCCGUGCCAGCA
RNAcentral lists this ribosomal RNA (496 nucleotides) under uncultured bacterium. Its description in RNAcentral is "bacterial SSU rRNA". It matches the Rfam family "Bacterial small subunit ribosomal RNA", at positions 28 to 513 of the family's 1533-position model. The record is from RNAcentral.